This 329-nucleotide unclassified non-coding RNA is filed under the name uncultured Sordariomycetes. RNAcentral describes it as "sequence contains ITS1". The stretch from base 1 to 105 matches the Rfam family "5.8S ribosomal RNA", at positions 50 to 154 of the family's 154-position model. The record is from RNAcentral. Lineage: Eukaryota; Fungi; Ascomycota; Sordariomycetes.
GAAAUGCGAUACGUAGUGUGAAUUGCAGAAUUCAGUGAACCAUCGAAUCUUUGAACGCACCUUGCGGCCGCCGGUAAUCCGGCGGCCAUGCCCGUCCGAGCGUCGUUUCGACCCUCGGGGCCCCCCCUCUUGCAGGGCGGCGGCCCCGGCCUUGGGCCAGCGCGUGCCGCUCUCGAGCGCCGCGCGGCCCGCAGAACAGCGGCGGCAGCACCGGCGACGUCCCCUGCGCAGUAGCAUACACUCGCAUUGGUCUCCCGGCGCGGCCCGCCUCGAACCCCAAACUUCUUUAGGUCGACCUCGGAUCGGGUAGGGAUACCCGCUAAACUUAA